Molecule: long non-coding RNA, 614 nt
Organism: Triticum aestivum (bread wheat)
Lineage: Eukaryota; Viridiplantae; Streptophyta; Magnoliopsida; Poales; Poaceae
Exons: 3
Source: RefSeq, a predicted model, not a curated record
CCCCCGCACUACUUCUCGCCGCCGCCACCACCACCACCACCACCACCACCUAUGGCGCCCGAUCCCGCCCUAUUCCAGCGUCCUCCGGCGGUGCCCAGCGCACCACCGUGCCCCCCUCUAACUGUUCCUUCCUCCCAUCGGGCCAGAUCCGGCGCGCGCGUACUCCAGCGGCCAACCGUGACCCUGCCCAGCAGCUAGGGUUUGGGCCAGCACGUCACCGGCGUUGCUCCGGCGUUGCUCCGGUGACUUAGCGUGCCGUCGCCGGUCGGGCACCGGGACGCCAUGGACGGGAAGGUUUCUUCCUCCCCUGCCUAGAUCCCAUGAACGGCGCAACCCCACCACUACACCAUGGAGAUGGAGCUCCUUCCACAUCAUGCAUGGAGCCUCCCUCCCAGCGCCCGGGGCCCUAGAGGGAAUUCAAGGCAAUGGCCGGAGAGAGAGGAGCUGCUCCUAGUACAGGACGCCAUGGAAGCUUCUCCUUUCUUGUUCUGCCUUUUUAAUUUUUCCGUUUCUCUUCCCGAUCUAGACAUGUUGAAGGCUCUAUUUUGUGCAGGUGCUGCACUGAUGAGGAGAAACUACUGCUGAAGGACGUCCUCCUCCCCUCUCCUCCUCUU